Non-coding RNA from Hordeum vulgare subsp. vulgare (domesticated barley), 136 nucleotides. The record is from Rfam. NCBI's taxonomy places the organism in Eukaryota, Viridiplantae, Streptophyta, Magnoliopsida, Poales, Poaceae.
UUAAUACUUCCUUCGUCUUAAAAUUCUUGUUUCAAAUUUGCUUAGAUAUGAAUGUAUUUAGUCAUGUUUUAGUAUUUUGAUACAUCCAUUUCUAGACAAACCUAAGACAAGAAUUUUGAAACCAAGGGAGUAUAAA